GGAUGCGAGGGCGAUCUGACUGCGACAUCUGUCACCCCAUUGAUCACCAGGGUUGAUUCGGCUGAUCUGGCUGGCUAGGCGGGUGUUCCCUUCCUCCCUCACUGCUCCAUAUGCGUCCCUCCCGAAGCUGCACACUCGGUGGAAGAGGACGACCACCCUCGUUAGAGGAGGACCGUUUCCUCGGUCAAGGGUAUACGAGUAGCUGCGUUCCCCUGCUAGAACCUCCAAACAAGCUCUCAAGAAAUGAGACACCUAAAAUGUUAUGUUUCUUUAGUUCCUGAUAUGAAUUAUGUUUCUCAGGAUAUGA
This 307-nucleotide small nuclear RNA is filed under the name Heterocephalus glaber (naked mole-rat). Its description in RNAcentral is "7SK RNA". It matches the Rfam family "7SK RNA". Rfam says of the family: 7SK was discovered as an abundant small nuclear RNA in the mid-70s but a possible function has only recently been suggested. Two independent studies have found that 7SK RNA binds the CDK9/cyclin T complex (known as elongation factor P-TEFb). P-TEFb activates transcription by phosphorylating the C-terminal domain of RNA polymerase II. The record is from Rfam by way of RNAcentral. Lineage: Eukaryota; Metazoa; Chordata; Mammalia; Rodentia; Bathyergidae.